Molecule: long non-coding RNA, 307 nt
Organism: Cyprinus carpio (common carp)
Lineage: Eukaryota; Metazoa; Chordata; Actinopteri; Cypriniformes; Cyprinidae
Exons: 3
Source: RefSeq, a predicted model, not a curated record
GUAAACGAUCGCACGUGCUUUGGUCUUCCGAGAAGAGUCUACAGAAAACGGCGGAUUAAUUAACAGUGAUUGUUUAUCGGUAGACCCCAGCCAAGGUUCAGUGAUUGACAUGACAGCCCUACGAAAUGUGCAGCCAAACAGGGCAUGCUGGAUGCAUCCACAAAGCAGUGACCAAAUAAAGAUGAUAAAAAAUGCUUUAAAUGAAAAGGAAUCACGACAACAAUUUUUGGCACAAGUAGGAGCAACAAUUCUGAACAGAUCAGAUUUUUUUUUUACCUUGGGACAUCCAAAUGAUGUUGAAGGGACU